RNAcentral lists this transfer RNA (66 nucleotides) under Lytta caraganae. Its description in RNAcentral is "tRNA-Phe". The record is from RNAcentral. Lineage: Eukaryota; Metazoa; Arthropoda; Insecta; Coleoptera; Meloidae.
AUUCAAAUAGCUUAUGUAACAGAGCAUGAUAUUGAAGAUAUCAAGGAAACUUUAUGUUUUUGGAUA